UUCUAAGGGCUUGUUUGAUUAUUGUUGAUUGCUUGAGCUUACACUUAUUUUGCUUACAUAUUCCAAAGGAUGGGAGCUACUUGGGUCAUCCAUAUGAUCUCAAGAGAGGAACUCCAUUUGUGGUCUUGUUUCUUAUCCCUCAUCUCUUGUAUGAUUAGGACUUUAGCCAUUCUUCUUCUUCCCUCCACUCUAACCCAAGCCAAAAC
RNAcentral lists this long non-coding RNA (206 nucleotides) under Lathyrus oleraceus (garden pea). RNAcentral's name for it is "Pisum sativum (pea) long non-coding RNA (PSAT_LNC007559)". The record is from RNAcentral. Lineage: Eukaryota; Viridiplantae; Streptophyta; Magnoliopsida; Fabales; Fabaceae.